Molecule: long non-coding RNA, 511 nt
Organism: Catharus ustulatus (Swainson's thrush)
Lineage: Eukaryota; Metazoa; Chordata; Aves; Passeriformes; Turdidae
Exons: 3
Source: RefSeq, a predicted model, not a curated record
CGGUGCUCUGCCCUCAGCCCGUCGGGCGCUCGCUUUGGGUCGUGUGCUGGUCUUUCUGAGGGUGUGCCAACAGAGCUCAGGCUAUGUUAUGCAACACCCAAGCUAACCAUUUAGAGAAAGAGUGCUGUACAUGGACAUUUUGAAGGGAGAAAUUCUGGUGAACUUUAAGAGAAUUGAUUCACUCAACAAACCAGGAAUGUUGCUUGCCAAAUCAUUUUUCUGAAGCUUUUAUAUGGCAAUGAGGAAUUCUGGUAUGUAAAUGUCACAUCAAAGUGGUAAAAAUAUGGUAAGAGCUUUUUACUUAUUAUUUUCUACAGAUAAUAUGGAGGCUUUUAUUUUCAAACUUCAACUUGAAAAUCACCUCAAGUAUUAGAGUUUUGAUAAAGUUAUAUAUUUUGACAAAUAAAAAAAAAUAGUUCCAGGUAGCCUGCUGAUUAUGUGAGGUAGUAGUGUUAUUUUAUAUAUUCAACAGAUUGUAGCAAGUGAUGUUUAAGCCAUGGCUAGGUUAGUA